Molecule: long non-coding RNA, 968 nt
Organism: Exaiptasia diaphana
Lineage: Eukaryota; Metazoa; Cnidaria; Anthozoa; Actiniaria; Aiptasiidae
Exons: 2
Source: RefSeq, a predicted model, not a curated record
UUGAUCGAGAAUGAACUUACAGACUGACAUGGGAGGGGUAGGGAGGUCAGUAGUAAUCUUUGUACCACCUAUACUCCACGCCCCAGUAAAAUUUGUUUCUUAACUGUUUUACAGGGGAUGGGAAACUGAGUCAUCACGAAUUUAUUGAACUCAUGAAAAAUCGACAAAAGCGAGGAUUCAGGACACCGUCAGCGGACAAACCAGGAUGGGAAGGAUUCAAAGCCUGUGUAAAAAAGGAAAUUGCAAACUAAUCACGUUAAUUGAAAUCAAGUUGAGACCAGAAGAAUAUAAUUUACACUCUUUCGAUUUCCCCUGAUAAAUUGUAUUCCUUCUUCGUAUGCAAAAGAAUCGACCCUGCAGGUGAUCUUGCGUAAAGACGUUUGAAAGUCUUAGUCCAAACAACUGCGAAUUUUUUGGGACUAAGAAGGUAUUUGUUAUGCAAUAUCUGAAGGAUUUGUUAAGACUUAGAAUAAGAAACUGAAAAGAAAUUAAAUUAAGAGUAGUUUGAGGAUACCUUGAAGAAUCUACACGGAUUAGGCGGACCAUAAUAUCCAGGAAAUCCAAAUAAUUCACAAAUGCAAGUUAUGGAGGUAUGACGUAGAAUUCCGCCUUACGGCCACCCGGUUAAUACGGGCACUUUUUGUUUUUCCUUCGAUGUCCGGAUUAAGGAGGUUCCAAUGUUCUUUACAUCUGUACAUUGAUUUGAGAUACGCAUGCGCAGACAUUUAACCGCGUUGCUGCUUAUUCCGUCAUUUUUUAUGCGUUUUCGUGGCAUUUCAUUCCAGCAGUCAGUAUAGAUCCCUGUGUCAGUAUAAAUUGACGCACGUUUGUUAAAGAGCUCCAAGCUUUAUUGCUGUAUUUUAGUAGUAUUUGUAUUUAUAAGUUAUUUGAAAACAUGCAAUUUGUGCGACAACAACAUGUAAUCUGAAUAACGUUAAUAAAUUUCAUUGUAUAUUAUGUGUGAUAAA